Molecule: long non-coding RNA, 460 nt
Organism: Frieseomelitta varia
Lineage: Eukaryota; Metazoa; Arthropoda; Insecta; Hymenoptera; Apidae
Exons: 4
Source: RefSeq, a predicted model, not a curated record
GUACCACGUGCAGCUUCUAUAGUCUAUGCUUCGCGGUUGUUGCCGUUCUUUGCGAUUGCUUUUUGUUGUAAUUGUUUGGUUAGAAUUAUGCUUUGAAGUUUGCAAUAUGAAAGUAGUGCAAAUCUCUCGAACAGUAGAGUAACGUCAUGUAACUGUUAAUACCAGAUGAAACAAAGCCGCAUUGGCGUAGGACGCGUUUGAAAAGUACUAAUUUGCUUCGUUUGUUCCAGAAUUUUUUAUCCACAGGCAAACACUCGCCCCGAAAGGGUGCCAGUCGCAUACGAAAUCUCCAGUCACGCUAGGAAAUGGAAUAGGCGUUAUUGAUGCGGCUACUUUCGAUACGACCGCAUCUGGACAUUUCUGCCUUUUCCUUCUUCCUCUUUCGAUUCAAUAUAAAGCAGCCAGACGUAACCUUUCGCUGCGUGAAACGAACAGAAAAGAACGUAUCUGUAUCAUAGCA